This 2131-nucleotide long non-coding RNA is filed under the name Anser brachyrhynchus (Pink-footed goose). RNAcentral describes it as "lncRNA (ENSABRG00000010333.1)". Lineage: Eukaryota; Metazoa; Chordata; Aves; Anseriformes; Anatidae. The record is from RNAcentral.
AAAGAAAGAAAGAAAGAAAGAAAGAAAGAAAGAAAGAAAGAAAGAAAGAAAGAAAGAAAGAAAGAAAGAAAGAAAGAAAGAAAGAAAGAAAGAAAAAGAAAAGAAGUGUGGUACUCGUCAGUCCCUUCUCCAUCAGGGCAGCUUCUUUCUUUUCCUCAGCAGACAGUUUAUUUUCUACUCAAUGCCUCGUCUCAUGUUUGUCUAACUUCUUUAAAUGAGAGCAAGCACUGUGCUUUUGUUCUGCUCCUCUUUCAGGGCCUUUUUGCUGAUCUUCUCUGCAUGUAUCUGAAAGAUCAGGAAAACAAAUCAAUACGGAAAAGGACCUCCUGCCCCUUUUAACCUAACGUGUGGGAGGGAGGGAAGGGAAAUAGCCAAUUACAUGAAAGGGAAUUUUAAAUAUGUUUGAAAACAACACAGUGGGAGUGAGGGUUUGGAAGGACAGGUGUCGACAAGACCAGCCUCUGCAGUCCAUGGGGUGCCUUUAUGAACUUGUGGUCUUCUCCUCCACAGCAGCAUAUACUGGCCGAACCAUACAGCUGAAAGGCAUCCUGUGGAAGAGGCACUGUAGCAGGUCUGGGAGGGAUCAUUGACCAUGAAGAUCUCUGCAAGGGUGACCUUGGUGCACUGGGAGCUGGUCUGAGACUCACCCCAUGGUCUGAGGGCUAGCAAAUGCUGACCGCUGUCUUGUACUGGCUGGAUUUGUCUCAGUACUUUCUGGUACCACUGUCCUAUUUACUCUCCUCCAGCACCAAGAUCAGCAGAUAGAGAACACAACACAGCAGAUAGAGAAUGCAACACUUUAAAACCCGGAGUUUCAAACAGUGGCUGUCCAUCCUAGGUGCCAAACACAGAAGCCCACUUUAUGGAUGUUCUUUGGUCUUUGUUUUUCUUUCUCCCUGGUGCCCUGCACCAAGCCAGUACAGUCCUGCACCUGUUGCUGUACUUUGCAGUGUUGUCAGAAAAGUGAGCCUAAGUUUGAUAUGCCCAGAAAUUAAAACACAAAUUGGUCUGUUAGACCAAGCAAAGAGUAAUUUACCUGCAGCUUGCUUUACUUUGUCAAAGGAGAGUAAAGCUGGCAUUAUUCUGAGUGUGAGCACAGGUGCUUUGCUGUGGAGAAGCAAUAGACUUUGAGACAAGAAGGCUUCCUGUGCUGCUCCAAGUAGCUCUGAUCUUCCUUCAUGUCUCUGCACGGUUUCAAAGUGCUGCUAAUGGGGAAUUAUUAACAUUAGGCCCCCUGUAUUGCUGGAUCAUAGAGGCCUUAAUGGCCCCCCCUUGUGGGAGGGGUUGGAUUCUGAUUGCAGUGUUGUAAAUCUAGAGUAUCUUAGAUGACUUUAAUAGAGUUAUUCCCAAACAAUCCAUGUAUAAUAGAAGGAGAUGAAGAAUUUUAAAAGCAAUAUAUUUUUAUGCGGGUUAGCUGCCCCACUCCUUUACUCUGACCAAUUGUUUAGGAUUCUCAUGUUGGUUUGAAAUGUUCGCUCAGACACGGUCUCUAAUCAAUCCAUAUACACACUGUGAUGGAAAUUUGCUUCUUGCUUGCUGCCCAAUGUACCUCAGAAAAUGACACCGAACAGCUCAGCAUCUCCCUGAGGUGAUGGCACGGCCAUCCAUCUAUAACUCACCCGGGAGCAUUUUGCAGACCUUUUGAGGUUGAGUUGCUCAAAAACAUCAGGCAGCGGUGUUUAGCGUGAACUUGUGCUCAUCUUUAUUUCUCCAUGGAGACAGCAGCGCUGGAGCAGUAAUCUCCCCUGAGAAUUCCCGCCUAAUGCGUGCUCUAAACGGCCAAGAUGUGCUGCUCACCUCCUCCACAACCACGAAAAGAGGAGUGAGUCGCUAACUGAGGCUUGAGCAAUGAAAAUCAGAGCGAUGGGCUGCAGUGGAGUAGGCUGAUGAUGGAAAAGAUGAGUAACUAGCAUGUACAAGUUAAUUGUUGAAGGCAUUGUGUGUAAAAUAGCUCAUUUUACAUGGAGACAACCUUGGAUGUUUGUUGGGGUGGCAGAGCACUGUGGGUUUGCGCCAUGUGCUUCACACCACUGCUACACAUUUAUUCUGCUGAUCAGAUAACCUGUUAUUCCUACUGCUCCAAGCUGCCAAACUUGCCCCACUUGCUGAAUUCUUGCACUGUGACAGCAGC